This 253-nucleotide ribosomal RNA is filed under the name uncultured bacterium. RNAcentral describes it as "partial 16S ribosomal RNA". It matches the Rfam family "Bacterial small subunit ribosomal RNA", at positions 524 to 776 of the family's 1533-position model. The record is from RNAcentral.
UACGUAGGGGGCUAGCGUUGUCCGGAAUCAUUGGGCGUAAAGCGCGCGUAGGCGGCCCGGUAAGUCCGUUGUAAAAGUCAAAGGCUCAACCUUUGAAAGCCGAUGGAUACUGUCGGGCUAGAGUUCGGAAGAGGCGAGUGGAAUUCCCGGUGUAGCGGUGAAAUGCGCAGAUAUCGGGAGGAACACCAAUGGCGAAGGCAGCUCGCUGGGACGUUACUGACGCUGAGACGCGAAAGCGUGGGGAGCAAACAGG